Molecule: ribosomal RNA, 440 nt
Filed under: uncultured bacterium
Lineage: Bacteria
Description: partial 16S ribosomal RNA
Rfam family: Bacterial small subunit ribosomal RNA
Source: RNAcentral
CCUACGGGAGGCAGCAGUAGGGAAUAUUGCUCAAUGGGGGAAACCCUGAAGCAGCAACGCCGCGUGGAGGAUGAAGGUUUUCGGAUUGUAAACUCCUUUUGUCAGAGAAGAUAAUGACGGUAGCUAACGAAUAAGCACAGGCUAACUCCGUGCCAGCAGCCGCGGUAUUACGGAGGGUGCAAGCGUUACUCGGAAUCACUGGGCGGAAAGAGCGCGUAGGCGGGAUAGCAAGUCGGAUGUGAAAGCCUAUGGCUUAACCAUAGAACUGCAGUUGAAACUGUUAGUCUAGAGUGUGGGAGAGGUAGGUGGAAGUCUUGGUGUAGGGGUAAAAUGCGUAGAGAUCAAGAGGAAUACUCAUUGCGAAGGCGGCCUGCUGGAACGUAACUGACGCUGAUGCACGAAAGCGUGGGGAGCAAACAGGAUUAGAUACCCGAGUAGUC